Long non-coding RNA from Zalophus californianus (California sea lion), 896 nucleotides. RefSeq lists it as uncharacterized. The transcript has 3 exons. Lineage: Eukaryota; Metazoa; Chordata; Mammalia; Carnivora; Otariidae. The record is from RefSeq and is a predicted model, not a curated record.
CGGGCAGGCACAAGUCAGGCCCGGUCAUCUGGCAGAGGAGGGACACACGUAUGCGCCAGGCCCCAGAGUUUCAUUUAAACUUUGGAGACAGUGGAGAGGAAAUCAAGUGAAAACACCCACCCACUUCAAAUUUCUGACCAAGCCGUGGUGCCUGUGCUGUGUGUUGUAGUUUCCGAGUGGGAAGCAGGGUUUUGUUUUACUUUCUUGUGGAGGACUAUGUACUACUAGCUAGGUGUGUGAUGCUCCUCCUUCCAAUGACAACGAUGUCCCUGAGCUGGCAAAGGCAGGUCAAGACAAGGGAGGGAAAGAUGCUGACAGCUUACAGAAAAAACGAAUAGAAAUGUUGGCAGCUGAGCGCAAACUCCUUUAGAAACAGGUGUGAACCUCCAUGCCCCGGCUUCUGGAAGCCAAUAACCCUGAGAAGAGUGUCAUAUAACAAAUGUCGGGCAUAGGGGCAAAGAUGACUAGCGGGUUUCUUUAUAGAAAUGUAAAAUGUAACAAUUGACACAAAAUGUAGCAAAGUAUGCAUGUUUACAUUGUUUAUAAAGAUACAAUUUCUUUUUUAAAAAUGAACACUCCUGGUGUAUGGGGUCAGGGGGAUAAACACUCCGGUAAGGAUAUCUUAGCUCUUUCUCUUACACGACACAUAUAUUUUCCCUUUUAUUUCACUUAUUCCACAACUAUUUAUUGAGUUACUGCUAAGUCAUAGAGAUAAAAGAUGAGUAAGGUAGAAAAUGGCAGUCAUCUCUACAAGGGCGUCGGGUGGAAUACAUUCCAGGCCCUGAGAGCUGUGAUGGGGAAAGCAGGUGUGUUGUAGAAGCAUGGGGGGAGCACAUAGUCAUUGUCAUGGGGAGAGCAGUGGUCAGGGAUGGAAGUGAGGUUGAAAGAAGCAGGGA